Molecule: non-coding RNA, 38 nt
Filed under: Geobacter sulfurreducens PCA
Lineage: Bacteria; Pseudomonadati; Thermodesulfobacteriota; Desulfuromonadia; Geobacterales; Geobacteraceae
Source: RNAcentral
UCGGCCGUCGAUUUGCCCGAACUGGCAUACCCCUCGAA